CACGUAGGGGCGAGCGUUGUCCGGAAUUACUGGGCGGUAAAGGGCGCGCAGGCUGUUAUGCGAGUCUGCUGUGAAAUGUACCGGCUCAACCGGUGCCUUGCGGCGGAUACUGCAUAGCUGGAGUACUGGAGAGGGAAGUGGAAUUCCCGGUGUAGCGGUGAAAUGCGUAGAUAUUGGGAAGAACACCGGUGGCGAAGGCGACUUGCUGGGCAGCAAACUGACGCUGAGGCGCGAAAGCCAGGGGAGCAAACGGGAUUAGAUA
Molecule: ribosomal RNA, 262 nt
Filed under: uncultured prokaryote
Description: partial 16S ribosomal RNA
Rfam family: Bacterial small subunit ribosomal RNA
Source: RNAcentral